UACGGGGGGGGUAAGCGUUGUUCGGAAUUACUGGGCGUAAAGGGCUCGUAGGCGGCCAACUAAGUCAUACGUGAAAUCCCUCAGCUUAACUGGGGAACUGCGUGUGAUACUGGAUGGCUUGGAUUUGGGAGAGGGAUGCGGAAUUCCAGGUGUAGCGGUGAAAUGCGUAGAUAUCUGGAGGAACACCUGCGGUGUAGACGGCUUUCUGGACCAUUGCUGACGCUGAGACACGAAAGCGUGGGUAGCAAACAGG
This 253-nucleotide ribosomal RNA is filed under the name uncultured bacterium. Its description in RNAcentral is "partial 16S ribosomal RNA". It matches the Rfam family "Bacterial small subunit ribosomal RNA", at positions 524 to 776 of the family's 1533-position model. The record is from RNAcentral.